GAGUCCAUUUCAAAGAAAGACCUCACUUUGGACUAUGUCACGGCAAGACUAGCCCAUGAAGUGACCAAAAGAAAGCAAAAGGAGUCUAUUGGAGAGCAAUCAGCACUAUUUACAAGACCAAGUAAGGCAAGUGCCCCUUUUCAACGUUAUCCUCCUAAAACUUGUUAUAUUUGUGGAAAACCAGGCCAUUUUGCUAGAAAUUGUUUCAA
RNAcentral lists this long non-coding RNA (209 nucleotides) under Physcomitrium patens. Its description in RNAcentral is "long non-coding RNA (PPAT_LNC013168)". Lineage: Eukaryota; Viridiplantae; Streptophyta; Bryopsida; Funariales; Funariaceae. The record is from RNAcentral.